GAUGGGCCUGGAGGGGGAGAGAGGGAGAAACUUCUCCAGCCCAGGCUCCCCCGGCAGAGCCUCAGCUGUGCCAGUCCCGGGAGAAGCCCUGGAGAGGGACAGGAGCGGCCACAGCUGGAGCUGCCAGCCCGGAGCCCUGUGGAGGUGCUGGAGGUGCCACCCUGAGCUGCUGCCGCCACCCAGGGCUGUCCCCUCUGUCACCAGCUCGUGUCUCUGACCCCUCAUCCCACUGCCCCCGCUGUGCCCUGGGUCCCAGGGGGGAUCCCUGGAUCCAGGACAUUCCCUCUGCUCCAGCAGGAUCGCGGCUCCCAGGAGCUGUCCUGGCUCUGGGGAAGGGGCUGGAGAAUGAUGACCCUCCUGGAAUGGUCAGGAUCCUUCUGGAAUGGGUCAGGGAUGCUAGAACGGUCAGGGAUCUUGGAAUGGGUCAGGGAUCCUGGAACGGGUCAGGGAUCCUGGAACAGGUCAGGGAUCCUGGAACGGGUCAGGAUCCUGCCCAAGGCCUCCCCUGGAAUGUCCCACACGGAGCACAGGGCCCUGUUUUUUUUGGAGCCUCCCUGAUCCCGCUCCAGCCCAGCUCCCCGCCAGCCCGAGGGCUCCCCGGGCUGUGGGGCACGCCGAGGCUGAGCCGGGUUCCCGGGGCCGCUCUGGGGUGUCACUGCGGGGAGCAGCGGCAGCAGGACGGUUUGGGGCUGCAGCUGGGGGCGCAGCAGGGCUGCAGCGAGGGGUCCUGGCCCUUGCCCAUCUGGCUGUCCCCGAAGCGCAGGCGCUGCUGCAGCAGCACCUUCUGCAGGGCGAUGUCCUUGAGCGCCUGCAGCACCUCGGGGCCCGGCUGGCCCUGCAGCAGGUCGUAGUUCUCCGCGGGGUCUGCCUCCAGGUCGAAGAGCAGCGGGGGCAGGUGCGGGGUCAGCGGGGUCAGCCCGUGGCACGCCUGGUCCGGGGUGGUGUCGCUGUGGAAGGAACCUGAGCCCCCAGCCCGGCCUGAGCCGCGCCCUCCUCCCGGAGCUCCGCGCAGCCCCAAAACCCCCCGAAAAACCCCAAAACCCCCCAAAGCCAGCGCUGACCUCGGGUGAAGUAGUGCGCCUUGUACUUGCCCAGGCGGACGGCGAAGGGGCCGUGCAGGGGGUCGGGGUCCGGCGGGAAGAAGAACACGGCGCGGCGGGGGCU
This is a long non-coding RNA of Chloebia gouldiae (Gouldian finch), 1164 nucleotides long. The record is from Ensembl. NCBI's taxonomy places the organism in Eukaryota, Metazoa, Chordata, Aves, Passeriformes, Passeridae.